UAGUUCAACUCCAUACAGAAUUGUGGUCUCAGUUCUGUAUAAGUUGAGCUG
Molecule: microRNA precursor, 51 nt
Organism: Ciona intestinalis (vase tunicate)
Lineage: Eukaryota; Metazoa; Chordata; Ascidiacea; Phlebobranchia; Cionidae
Product: cin-mir-4081
Source: Ensembl